Molecule: long non-coding RNA, 745 nt
Filed under: Homo sapiens (human)
Lineage: Eukaryota; Metazoa; Chordata; Mammalia; Primates; Hominidae
Description: HSALNT0348797
Source: RNAcentral
GAGGCGGCCGGGCGGCGCGGAGUCCUCCUGGAUCGUGGCAAUGGGCAGACACAGAGCAGAAAGUGGCGGACUUGGGCGGCCACAGAGCCUUUAUGACCGAAGAUGGAACUGAAAUGCCAUCCUGUUAUCAAGAAGGAGCAUAAGAACAGCUAGAGGAGAGAUGCAAGAUUGAAAUAUCAUGGAAUGGACUAUGGUUUAUCCUCUCUUCUGGUCGUAAAACACCAUCAGGUUGUAAUUGUUCAGAUCAGAAAUUCCCAAGCUUUUAAUAAAGCCUUCAGGGAGCCUCAUCCAGGGGCAACUGCCCUGUCAUUGGGAAUAAGUAGAGUGUGUGGGAAAUAUGUUGUCCUUGGUAAAACCUCCCCUUAGGAAAGAAGGCAAGAGAAUUGAGUAAGAGAAUGAUGGGCCAAAAGGAGAAAAUAGAGAAAGAGGCUGCAUGCUACAGAGAACAAGAGCAAAAUUCAAAAGCCUGGCACAGUUGGGCUUGAAACCAUCUGUGUAAAGGGGACUAAUAAUGCUGACCUCACUGCAUCACAAAUGACAGAGUUUAAAAUGAUGGUGUUUUUAAGGGACCUAGCACGUAUUAAGAAUUUAAUACACAUUGGUUUUCCUCCCUUCUCCUAGGGAUUAGGGAAAGCACAUCACUUUGCUUAAAUGCGUAUAAAAAGGCUUCAGACUGCUUCUUAACAAUGAGAAUCUUUGACAGUGAAUAUGCAAGCCAAAAAUAAAGAGUGGUUGAGAAACUUUG